GAUGAACGCUGGCGGCGUGCCUAAUACAUGCAAGUCGAGCGAAUGGAUUAAGAGCUUGCUCUUAUGAAGUUAGCGGCGGACGGGUGAGUAACACGUGGGUAACCUGCCCAUAAGACUGGGAUAACUCCGGGAAACCGGGGCUAAUACCGGAUAACAUUUUGAACCGCAUGGUUCGAAAUUGAAAGGCGGCUUCGGCUGUCACUUAUGGAUGGACCCGCGUCGCAUUAGCUAGUUGGUGAGGUAACGGCUCACCAAGGCAACGAUGCCUAGCCGGCCUGGGCGGGUGGUCCGGCACACGGGGGAUGAGGAACGGCCCAGACUCCGACGGGAGGCAGCAGUAGGGAAUCUUCCGCAAUGGACGAAAGUCUGACGGAGCAACGCCGCGUGAGUGAGGAAGGCUUUCGGGUCGUAAAACUCUGUUGUUAGGGAAGAACAAGUGCUAGUUGAAUAAGCUGACACCUUGACGGUACCUAACCAGAAAGCCACGGCUAACUACGUGCCAGCCGCCGCGGUAA
This 515-nucleotide ribosomal RNA is filed under the name uncultured bacterium. Its description in RNAcentral is "partial 16S ribosomal RNA". It matches the Rfam family "Bacterial small subunit ribosomal RNA", at positions 28 to 523 of the family's 1533-position model. The record is from RNAcentral.